Molecule: ribosomal RNA, 1248 nt
Filed under: metagenome
Description: bacterial LSU rRNA
Rfam family: Bacterial large subunit ribosomal RNA
Source: RNAcentral
UAUACGACCGUACCGCAAACCGACACUGGUGCGCGAGAUGAGUAUUCUAAGGCGCUUGAGAGAACUCGGGAGAAGGAACUCGGCAAAUUGACACCGUAACUUCGGAAGAAGGUGUGCCCUAUUAGUGUGUAGUGAACAACGAAGCAUGAAUGGGUUGCAAAAAAUCGGUGGCUGCGACUGUUUAUUAAAAACACAGCACUCUGCAAACACGAAAGUGGACGUAUAGGGUGUGACGCCUGCCCGGUGCUGGAAGAUUAAAUGAUGGGGUGCAAGCUCUUGAUUGAAGUCCCAGUAAACGGCGGCCGUAACAAUAACGGUCCUAAGGUAGCGAAAUUCCUUGUCGGGUAAGUUCCGACCUGCACGAAUGGCGUAACGAUGGCCACAUUGUCUCCUCCUGAGACUCAGCGAAGUUGAAAUGUUUGUGAUGAUGCAAUCUCCCCGCGGAAAGACGGAAAGACCCCAUGAACCUUUACUGUAGCUUUGUAUUGGACUUUGAACAGAUCUGUGUAGGAUAGGUGGGAGGCUUUGAAGCAGGGUCGCUAGAUCUUGUGGAGCCAACGUUGAAAUACCACCCUGGUGUGUUUGAGGUUCUAACCUAGGUCCAUUAUCUGGAUCGGGGACAGUGCAUGGUAGGCAGUUUGACUGGGGCGGUCUCCUCCCAAAGCGUAGCGGAGGAGUUCGAAGGUACGCUAGUUACGGUCGGACAUCGUGACGAUAGUGCAAUGGCAUAAGCGUGCUUAACUGCGAGACUGACAAGUCGAGCAGAUGCGAAAGCAGGACAUAGUGAUCCGGUGGUUCUGUAUGGAAGGGCCAUCGCUCAACGGAUAAAAGGUACUCUGGGGAUAACAGGCUGAUACCGCCCAAGAGUUCAUAUCGACGGCGGUGUUUGGCACCUCGAUGUCGGCUCAUCUCAUCCUGGGGCUGUAGCCGGUCCCAAGGGUAUGGCUGUUCGCCAUUUAAAGAGGUACGUGAGCUGGGUUUAAAACGUCGUGAGACAGUUUGGUCCCUAUCUUCCGUGGGCGCUGCAGAUUUGAGGAAGCCUGCUCCUAGUACGAGAGGACCGGAGUGGACACACCUCUGGUGUAUCGGUUGUCACGCCAGUGGCAUUGCCGAGUAGCUAAGUGUGGAAGAGAUAACCGCUGAAAGCAUCUAAGCGGGAAACUCGUUUCAAGAUGAGAUCUGCCGGGGCCUUGAGCCCCCUAAAGAGUCGUUCAAGACCAGGACGUUGAUAGGUCAGGUGUGGAAGCG